UCCGUAGGGUGCAAGCGUUAAUCGGAAUUACUGGGCGUAAAGCGUGCGCAGGCGGCUAUGCAAGACAGAUGUGAAAUCCCCGGGCUCAACCUGGGAACUGCAUUUGUGACUGCAUGGCUAGAGUACGGCAGAGGGGGAUGGAAUUCCGCGUGUAGCAGUGAAAUGCGUAGAUAUGUGGAGGAAUACCGAUGGCGAAGGCAGCCCCCUGGGAUAACACUGACGCUCAUGCACGAAAGCGUGGGGAGCAAACAGG
RNAcentral lists this ribosomal RNA (253 nucleotides) under uncultured bacterium. Its description in RNAcentral is "partial 16S ribosomal RNA". It matches the Rfam family "Bacterial small subunit ribosomal RNA", at positions 524 to 776 of the family's 1533-position model. The record is from RNAcentral.